AACGAACGCUGGCGGCGCGUCUUAAGCAUGCAAGUCGAACGGCAUGAGGAAGCUUGCUUCCUCAGAGAGUGGCGGACUGGUGAGUAACACGUGGAUAAUCUACCUGCAACACCGGGAUAACGCUGUGAAAACGGUGCUAAUACCGGAUACGUUCCCUUGUGCGCAUGUAUGAGGGAAGAAAGCUCAGGCGGUUGCAGAUGAGUCCGCGGCUGAUUAGCUAGUUGGUGAGGUAAAGGCUCACCAAGGCGACGAUGGGUAGCCGGCCUGAGAGGGUGAACGGCCACACUGGGACUGAGACACGGCCCAGACUCCUACGGGAGGCAGCAGUAGGGAAUCUUCCGCAAUGGGCGCAAGCCUGACGGAGCGACGCCGCGUGAGUGAUGAAGGCCUUCGGUCGUAAGCUCUGUUCUUGAGGACGAAUAAGCCAGGGAGUGGAAAGCCCUGGUGAUGACUGUACUCAAGGAGAAAGCUCCGGCUAA
RNAcentral lists this ribosomal RNA (479 nucleotides) under uncultured bacterium. RNAcentral describes it as "bacterial SSU rRNA". It matches the Rfam family "Bacterial small subunit ribosomal RNA", at positions 29 to 500 of the family's 1533-position model. The record is from RNAcentral.